CCUACGGGGGGCUGCAGUGGGGAAUAUUGGACAAUGGGGGCAACCCUGAUCCAGCCAUGCCGCGUGUGUGAAGAAGGCCCUCGGGUUGUAAAGCACUUUCAGUGAGGAAGAACGCCUGGUGGUUAAUACCCAUCAGGAAAGACAUCACUCACAGAAGAAGCACCGGCUAACUCCGUGCCAGCAGCCGCGGUAAUACGGAGGGUGCGAGCGUUAACCGGAAUUACUGGGCGUAAAGCGCGCGUAGGUGGCUUGAUAAGCCGGUUGUGAAAGCCCCGGGCUCAACCUGGGAACGGCAUCCGGAACUGUCAAGCUAGAGUGCAGGAGAGGAAGGUAGAAUUCCCGGUGUAGCGGUGAAAUGCGUAGAGAUCGGGAGGAAUACCAGUGGCGAAGGCGGCCUUCUGGACUGACACUGACACUGAGGUGCGAAAGCGUGGGUAGCAAACAGGAUUAGAUACCCCGGUAGUC
Molecule: ribosomal RNA, 465 nt
Filed under: Vreelandella stevensii
Lineage: Bacteria; Pseudomonadati; Pseudomonadota; Gammaproteobacteria; Oceanospirillales; Halomonadaceae
Description: partial 16S ribosomal RNA
Rfam family: Bacterial small subunit ribosomal RNA
Source: RNAcentral